UUCUUAUCGUUGGUUUCAGAGAAGUUGAGUGCGAUGAGCGGGAUCUUGUUGAUUGUGCUGUAUUUGUUCAGAUUGGAGUCUGAUGUCGAUCCCAGCAGACUGGACUUCAGAUGAUUGAACGGACCUGAAGAGGCCGUGCUGGUUAACAGCUGAUGGAAGUCAUUCAGCAUGCAGCAUUGAUCUGCUGUCCCGAUGCAUCCGUCCCGUUCAAUGGGAUGUCAAGAGGAACUGCCUGUACAAGUCUGAAUCACAACUGAGCCAUUCCAAACCACCUCAACGCAGGAAGGUCCAGACUAGAGCUUUAUUGAAAUAGCAGCAAAUGUUCUGUAUGAUCUAAUCAAGACAUCAAUAACAGCUGAGAGGAGAAAUCAGGCUGAAAAUGGAUAAUCACGAAACGGCAUGACGCCCCAGACGCUCUGAUGAUGCUCUGAUCUGAAGUCUGAAGGUGCUUUUGAAGAAAGAUAACGGGUUUGAUCUGGAUUUUUAGGCGUUUGGAGUUUGCGCUCAGCCCUUCGAUGUCGUGAACGGAGGAGGCCCGUCUCCUGCUACAUACGCUGUCUCUAGAGAUGGACUGGGCCAGGCAGGUGGUGGACUGCGCUUGAGACGGACUGGGCCGGUCCCAGGGCUGCUUGGGUGAUGAGUGGUCAAGCGGUAUGGACGCACUGACCGGGGAAGA
Labeo rohita (rohu) is the source of this 676-nucleotide long non-coding RNA. RefSeq lists it as uncharacterized. The transcript has 3 exons. Lineage: Eukaryota; Metazoa; Chordata; Actinopteri; Cypriniformes; Cyprinidae. The record is from RefSeq and is a predicted model, not a curated record.